UAUCAUUCCAAUAGGGCACAUACAUACUUAGGGAACCCAUCAAAAGAAGAAGAAAUUUUUCCAAACAUGUUGAAGUUUGCAGAGGCAUGCGAUAUUCCAGCUGCAAGAGUGACAAAGAGAAGUGAGCUUAGGNNNNNNNUGUUGGAGACUCCAGGACCUUACUUGCUUGACGUGAUUGUGCCCCAUCAAGAACAUGUCCUGCCAAUGAUCCCGAGUGGUCUUUCUUUCAAGGAUGCUAUUAC
Molecule: unclassified non-coding RNA, 242 nt
Filed under: Hevea brasiliensis (rubber tree)
Lineage: Eukaryota; Viridiplantae; Streptophyta; Magnoliopsida; Malpighiales; Euphorbiaceae
Source: RNAcentral